RNAcentral lists this ribosomal RNA (449 nucleotides) under uncultured bacterium. Its description in RNAcentral is "partial 16S ribosomal RNA". It matches the Rfam family "Bacterial small subunit ribosomal RNA", at positions 29 to 523 of the family's 1533-position model. The record is from RNAcentral.
AACGAACGCUGGCGGCAUGCCUAACACAUGCAAGUCGAACGAGAUCUUCGGGUCUAGUGGCGCACGGGUGCGUAACGCGUGGGAAUCUGCCCUUUGGUUCGGAAUAACAGUUGGAAACGACUGCUAAUACCGGAUGAUGACGAAAGUCCAAAGAUUUAUCGCCAGAGGAUGAGCCCGCGUAGGAUUAGCUAGUUGGUGUGGUAAAGGCGCACCAAGGCGACGAGCCUUAGCUGGUCUGAGAGGAUGAUCAGCGACACUGGGACUGAGACACGGCCCAGAUUCCUACGGGAGGAGGCAGUGGGGAAUAUUGGACAAUGGGCGAAAGCCUGAUCCAGCAAGGCCUCGUGAGUGAUGAAGGCCUUAGGGUUGUAAAGCUCUUUUACCCGGGAUGAGAAUGACAGUACCGGAAGAAUAAGCUCCGGCUAACUCCGUGCCAGCCGCCGCCGUAA